Molecule: long non-coding RNA, 239 nt
Filed under: Elaeis guineensis (African oil palm)
Lineage: Eukaryota; Viridiplantae; Streptophyta; Magnoliopsida; Arecales; Arecaceae
Description: long non-coding RNA (EGUI_LNC004309)
Source: RNAcentral
UCGGCCAUGUGUAGCAUUUGCCACUUAAACAACAGAAGUAUUCUCUUUCCAACCAUUAUUGUUUGCUUGAGCUUUGAGUUCCAAAGGCAGAUAUCUUAUGCCGUGCUAAGACGUGACAUAGUUCUGAUGAUGCCUUUUUGUCUGUAAUGGGUCUUUGACCAAUAUAUGAGGCUGCAUAUAACCUCGAUGCUAUAAAUGGAGAACAUUUCAGGUUUUAAGCCAAUUUACCGUCCAUGCCA